This 253-nucleotide ribosomal RNA is filed under the name uncultured Eubacteriales bacterium. RNAcentral's name for it is "uncultured Clostridiales bacterium partial 16S ribosomal RNA". It matches the Rfam family "Bacterial small subunit ribosomal RNA", at positions 524 to 776 of the family's 1533-position model. Lineage: Bacteria; Bacillati; Bacillota; Clostridia; Eubacteriales. The record is from RNAcentral.
UACGUAGGGGGCAAGCGUUAUCCGGAAUUACUGGGUGUAAAGGGAGCGUAGACGGUGAUGUAAGUCUGGAGUGAAAGGCAAGGGCUCAACCCUUGGACUGCUUUGGAAACUGUGCUGCUGGAGUGUCGGAGAGGCAAGUGGAAUUCCUAGUGUAGCGGUGAAAUGCGUAGAUAUUAGGAGGAACACCAGUGGCGAAGGCGGCUUGCUGGACUGUAAAUGACGCUGAGGCUCGAAAGCGUGGGGAGCAAACAGG